This is a long non-coding RNA of Scophthalmus maximus (turbot), 990 nucleotides long. RefSeq lists it as uncharacterized. NCBI's taxonomy places the organism in Eukaryota, Metazoa, Chordata, Actinopteri, Pleuronectiformes, Scophthalmidae. The transcript has 2 exons. The record is from RefSeq and is a predicted model, not a curated record.
GACAAUGAGAGAGAGAGAGAGAGAGAGAGAGAGAGAGAGAGAGAGACAAUGAGCGCUGCUGGUUUUGCUUCAUUAGAAUUCUUCAGUCAGUUCAACUGAGGCACAGUCGUCUCGUCACGAGCUCAGAUUCCUGUUUCAUGAGGUCUAAUGAGUCGCUUUCUUUUCCUUUUCAUAACUGUCACAGUGUUUCUGUUUCUCUCCGUAGAUGCAACUUUACAUUCUCAUAAUAUUGAUGGACAGUUCAGCUGAAGCAGCGUUUGUACAGUUUCAUGAGAAUUAGAAAAUCCAAACCAAAAGUCUUCUUUGGUGGAUCGGUGUUUUCUGAACAUGACACGUGAUGAAGACGUCUGUGGAAACAAAAUCUCUCCCCACAUCCAUUAUGUACAAGUCCUCAAACAGGAAAUCCCCCAAGAACGAAAACAAGGAAAUUCACUGGAGCUCAGCUCCUUUCUGGAGAAGUCACCAGAUCAGCUGCUGUGAUGUCACAGAAUCGUGUUAUCAUACAUGACAUGAAGUCAUGAUCCGUCAUGAACAGGAAGCUCGCAGCGUUAUUAGUUCGGCCUAGUAAACAGCAUCAUCACUGACAGUUUUCCUCUUCUACCAACUGAACAUUCUGAGGACAAAUGUGUCUUAGAAUAGGAUGAAACGUUUGUCACAUGCUGCAGAACUUCUUCUUUUAAACAGAUGAAUCCAGUCGCGUGGGACGUUGAGGACGAUGGGUAGUUGAUUGAUAAAUCGAUUAUUGGCGACCAGAUAUAAAAAACAAUGUGACACCUUCUCUUUAGAUCUAGAACAAAAAAGAAAAGACACCGACUCUUCACAUUUAAAUACAUAUGAUCAUAGUUUUCCCCUCAUCAAAACAAAAAUGAAAUAUAGUAUAGAAAUAUCUACAUGUUUAUACAGAUACAUAUUUACAAGGCAAACGGCUCCAACAGUUCGUUGGAGGUGAUGUCAUCCGCUGUAAAUCUAAAAUAUAAUUUUCCAACAUUG